This 216-nucleotide ribosomal RNA is filed under the name uncultured Bacillota bacterium. RNAcentral describes it as "uncultured Firmicutes bacterium partial 16S ribosomal RNA". It matches the Rfam family "Bacterial small subunit ribosomal RNA", at positions 28 to 233 of the family's 1533-position model. The record is from RNAcentral. Lineage: Bacteria; Bacillati; Bacillota.
GACGAACGCUGGCGGCGUGCCUAACACAUGCAAGUCGAACGGAGAUACUUUUGAAGCUUGCGAUAGAGUAUCUUAGUGGCGGACGGGUGAGUAACGCGUGGGUAAUCUGCCCAUAAGUGGGGAACAACAGUUGGAAACGGCUGCUAAUACCGCAUAAUCUGCCUUAGGGCAGGAAAGGUUGGCCUCUGAAUAUGCUGCCGCUUAUGGAUGAGCCCG